UCCCCGGUGGCUCAGUGGUAAAGAAUCUGCCUGCGAUGCAGGAGACCCAGGUUUGAUCCCUGGGUCAGGAA
This 71-nucleotide transfer RNA is filed under the name Bos taurus (domestic cattle). It matches the Rfam family "tRNA". From Rfam's summary of the family: Transfer RNA (tRNA) molecules are approximately 80 nucleotides in length. Lineage: Eukaryota; Metazoa; Chordata; Mammalia; Artiodactyla; Bovidae. The record is from Rfam by way of RNAcentral.